This 91-nucleotide transfer RNA is filed under the name Mycobacterium algericum. RNAcentral's name for it is "Mycolicibacter algericus tRNA-His". Lineage: Bacteria; Bacillati; Actinomycetota; Actinomycetes; Mycobacteriales; Mycobacteriaceae. The record is from RNAcentral.
GCCGAGGAAUACCAGGCGUGGCGUGCCUCUAUGGAGGGCAUCGACCGCUCCCGGUGGAGCGAGCAUCGGUUGUUGCCCGACCCCUCGGCUC